CCCUGGCCAAAAUGGUCUGGACCCUGAGAACUUUCCCCGACCAAAAGACAAGGAAGGCGGUGUUGGAAGCCAGUAUCUGUGGAGAGACGAGUGCACCUCCAGUCAAACUGAUAUUUGAGUAGAAUCUGAAGAUUGACAACCUGGAUCCCACACACAUCCUUCCGGCAUUUAUCUCACUGAGGUCACUCUUUAACCUAGAAUGAAAUACUCUGAUCUUACCUGUAUGCAAAAUACUGCUUUCUCUCUCUCUCUCUCUCUCUCUCUC
Molecule: long non-coding RNA, 265 nt
Organism: Clupea harengus (Atlantic herring)
Lineage: Eukaryota; Metazoa; Chordata; Actinopteri; Clupeiformes; Clupeidae
Exons: 3
Source: RefSeq, a predicted model, not a curated record